RNAcentral lists this ribosomal RNA (504 nucleotides) under uncultured bacterium. Its description in RNAcentral is "partial 16S ribosomal RNA". It matches the Rfam family "Bacterial small subunit ribosomal RNA", at positions 28 to 523 of the family's 1533-position model. The record is from RNAcentral.
GAUGAACGCUAGCGACAGGCCUAACACAUGCAAGUCGAGGGGCAGCACAUGAGUAGCAAUACGAUGGUGGCGACCGGCGCACGGGUGAGUAUCGCGUAUGCAACCUACCUUCCACAGGGGGAUAGCCUUCCGAAAGGGAGAUUAAUACCGCAUAAAACAGGGGCCCCGCAUGGGGAAAUUUGUCAAAGAUUUAUCGGUGGGGUAUGGGCAUGCGUUCCAUUAGCUAGUUGGCGGGGUAAUGGCCCACCCAGGCAUCGAUGGAUAGGGGAACUGAGAGGUUUAUCCCCCACACUGGAACUGAGACACGGUCCAGACUCCUACGGGAGGCAGCAGUGAGGAAUAUUGGUCAAUGGGCGGGAGCCUGAACCAGCCAAGUCGCGUGAAGGAAGACGGUUCUAUGGAUUGUAAACUUCUUUUGCACUGGGGUAAAACGGGGGACGUGUCCCCCCUUGCAAGUACAGUGCGAAUAAGCAUCGGCUAACUCCGUGCCAGCCGCCGCUGUAA